UNGGAGAGGAAAGUGGAAUUCCUAGUGUAGCGGUGAAAUGNGUAGAUAUUAGGAAGAACACCAGUGGCGAAGGCGACUUUCUGGACGAAAACUGACGCUGAGGCGCGAAANCCAGGGGAGCGAACGGGAUUAGAUACCCCGGUAGUCCUGNCCGUAAACGAUGGGUACUAGGUGUAGGAGGUAUCGACCCNUUCUGCGCCGGAGUUAACGCAAUAAGUACCCCGCCUGGGGAGUACGACCGCAAGGUUGAAACUCAAAGGAAUUGACGGGGGCCCGCACAAGCGGUGGAGUAUGUGGUUUAAUUCGACGCAACGCGAAGAACCUUACCAGGUCUUGACAUUGAUGGACAGAACUAGAGAUAGUUCNUCUUCUUCGGAAGCCAGAAAACAGGUGGUGCACGGUUGUCGUCAGCUCGUGUCGUGAGAUGUUGGGUUAAGUCCCGCAACGAGCGCAACCCCUAUCUUAUGUUGCCAGCACUUUGGGUGGGAACUCAUGAGAGACUGCCGCAGACAAUGCGGAGGAAGGCGGGGAUGACGUCAAAUCAUCAUGCCCCUUAUGACCUGGGCUACACACGUACUACAAUGGGAGUUAAUAGACGGAAGCGAGAUCGCGAGAUGGAGCAAACCCGAGAAACACUCUCUCAGUUCGGAUCGUAGGCUGCAACUCGCCUACGUGAAGUCGGAAUCGCUAGUAAUCGCAGGUCAGCAUACUGCGGUGAAUACGUUCCCGGGCCUUGUACACACCGCCCGUCACACCACGAAAGUCGGAAGUGCCCANAGCCGGUGGGGUA
This 790-nucleotide ribosomal RNA is filed under the name uncultured bacterium. Its description in RNAcentral is "bacterial SSU rRNA". It matches the Rfam family "Bacterial small subunit ribosomal RNA", at positions 649 to 1437 of the family's 1533-position model. The record is from RNAcentral.